AAUUGCGACCCCAGGUCAG
This 19-nucleotide ribosomal RNA is filed under the name Erica zeyheriana. RNAcentral describes it as "partial 28S ribosomal RNA". The record is from RNAcentral. Lineage: Eukaryota; Viridiplantae; Streptophyta; Magnoliopsida; Ericales; Ericaceae.